RNAcentral lists this ribosomal RNA (624 nucleotides) under Triticum aestivum (bread wheat). Its description in RNAcentral is "partial small subunit ribosomal RNA". The record is from RNAcentral. Lineage: Eukaryota; Viridiplantae; Streptophyta; Magnoliopsida; Poales; Poaceae.
AUGGCAUGGGACAAAUUAACAAGACCUAAAGGUAAAAGCGGUAUGGGCUUUCGUGAUCUUAGACUUUUUAAUCAAUCUCUUCUUGCAAAACAGGCUUGGCAUUUAUUGAUAUAUCCGGGCUCACUGUGUGCGAAGUUGAUGAAGGCAAAGUAUUAUCCUUAGGGACAUAUUCUGGAUAUUGUGUUCCUACAUUCUUCAUCACUAACUUGGCAUGGUAUUAUGCAUGGCCUGGAACUCCUUAAGAAAUGGGUCAUUUGGAGGGUGUGUGAUGGUUCUAGUAUUACUAUUUGGAGGGAUAAUUGGAUUUCGUGAAACUAUGGCCUAAAAAUUUCUCCAAAAAGGCAUAAUACAAGAUUGAAGUGGGUAUCUGAUUUAUUCAUGAGCACGAGUAAAUGUUGGGAUGAGAAUUUGGUGAAGCAUAUUUUCUAUCCACAUGAUGUUGAUGAGAUUCUGAAGAUUCGUAUUCAUGCCCAUGGGGAGGGAGAAUUUGUUUCGUGGAACUAUGAGAAGAAUGGUAUAUUUUGUAUUAAAAGUGCAUACAAUUUUGCGCUUAAGAUGAAGGAGAGUCAAGAUAACAUUGGUCAAUCUAGUGGUGAACCAGAGAGGGAAAGGAGGAUAUGGUAG